GCACCUCGCUGUACCAGAUUGCACUCCGAAGGCAGGGGUCACAGGUUCGAAUCCUGUCGGGUGCGCCA
This 68-nucleotide transfer RNA is filed under the name Halopseudomonas bauzanensis. RNAcentral describes it as "Pseudomonas bauzanensis tRNA_Arg_CCG". Lineage: Bacteria; Pseudomonadati; Pseudomonadota; Gammaproteobacteria; Pseudomonadales; Pseudomonadaceae. The record is from RNAcentral.